CGGGAUCGUAGGAGAUGUCGCCGCUGCCGUCGGCCUUCUCGAGUCCGCCGAUGCGGUGUUCGAGCCCCCGCGUUCCCGG
Molecule: transfer RNA, 79 nt
Filed under: Rhodococcus opacus
Lineage: Bacteria; Bacillati; Actinomycetota; Actinomycetes; Mycobacteriales; Nocardiaceae
Description: tRNA-Glu(ctc)
Source: RNAcentral